This is a long non-coding RNA of Homo sapiens (human), 609 nucleotides long. The record is from Ensembl. Lineage: Eukaryota; Metazoa; Chordata; Mammalia; Primates; Hominidae.
GGGAGCUGGGCUGGACUCGGUCCUCAGAUCCUCGGAAGGCUCAGCUCUGGGCGGGGCAAGGGACCUUGCAAGUCGGGGGGGCCUCGGGAACUUCUCUCCGCCAGCUGCGACUGGAGGCUGGGAACAGGGGAGACGACCCAGGGCCACGGCCCCUCAGGACUUCAGGCGGCCGGAGGUUGUGGGGACGAAGCGGAGUCGGGAGCCGGGCUUCCGGCCCUCACUACCCCGUCUCGGCCCGCGGGUUGCCUGCGUGCCCGCCCCACCCAGCGGUAAAAUACCUGUUUUCUGACAAGACUAGGACUCUUACAUAGACUGCCAUGAACUACAAGAAGUAUAGCAUUGCUCAAAUAACCUGUGGUUAGAGUUACUUGUUAUUGGUAAAUAGCCACUGUGGAGACUAAGGACCAAAAGAAACACAGAAAGAAAUUUUACAGAAGAAAAACAGUGGGCCCAAAGCUGAAAAGAAAAAGAAGCAGCAUCUGCAGGAUCUCCAGCUAGGGGAUGAAGAAGAUGUCUGGAAGAGAAAUCCCAAAGCUUUUGCAAUUCAGUCUGCUGUGGGGAUGGCUUGAUCCUUUCACAGGACUCAGGAUUUGAAGACAAAAAAGCAUC